Long non-coding RNA from Ipomoea nil (Japanese morning glory), 688 nucleotides. RefSeq lists it as uncharacterized. The transcript has 3 exons. The record is from RefSeq and is a predicted model, not a curated record. Lineage: Eukaryota; Viridiplantae; Streptophyta; Magnoliopsida; Solanales; Convolvulaceae.
UUCCCUGAUCUUCCUCCGUCCCUGCGUUUUCCGUUGUUCAACUGUCAUGUCUUCUAUUUCUUACUGUAGAUCUAGAGUAGAACCUGCAAAUACUAUGUAAAGGGAAACAAAAAUGACUUUAUUCUUCAAUCUUUGGAUUUAAAAGAAAAAAAAAAUGGCUAGAAAAUCCAGCUCAUUCUUUGGGAUUUUCUCCUACAUCGCUUCUUGAACACCCAUUCGGUUAGAGAAACUUAAUUGGUUUCAGUGAGCAGGCAGGCACGGUGUUUGUUGUAAUGCAUAAGAGAGUCUGUAUCGUGGAUCUCGAUAAUGGCAGUGUAUUUUUACAAUGAGACAUGGGAUACCGCUGCAGUAGUUUUUUAAGAGGUCUUUUUGGAGUUGUCUGGAAGGUUGUUAGUGAGGAUAGAUGUCAAAUCCAAAUUUGGUUAGCUGGCAUCUUAUUUCAAAUUGCAAGAAACGGAGCUGCGACGAUGCCAUCUCAUCUGGUGAAUGGAAGUAGCGUAGCACCAUCUUUGGGUUUUUGGAUUUUUUUUUUUUUUUUUAAAAUUGGUUUUUGUGAAAACUAGCUUAGCGAGGGCGUCAUAUACUCAUAUGUCCUUGAUUGCGUACUAGAAUGUACCAUAAUCACGAGAAACAUAUGAUGUUGUGAAUUUUCAGAAUUAUAUUAAAUAAAUAUAUAGGUGGAAUUGGA